Molecule: long non-coding RNA, 2782 nt
Filed under: Equus caballus (horse)
Lineage: Eukaryota; Metazoa; Chordata; Mammalia; Perissodactyla; Equidae
Description: lncRNA (ENSECAG00000042596.2)
Source: RNAcentral
AAAAAGCCUCUCUCGCCUCCCCGUUCUCGCCCUCACACAGACCCUCCUUUCAGACCCGCCCUCCUGUUCACAGGGACCCAUUUCGGAGCCCUAGCUCACGCUGGGCGGGAACCAGCGUGACGAAUUCCGCCCAAGUCCCCCCUCCCCGGAUACCGGAAAGUCUCUUCUCUUUUUCGUAUCAAAAAAAGCCCGGUGAAGACUCUGCAGAACCCAGGAAGCGCAGAAUCGGGAGAAAGUCUUUGGCUGGGGCUGGUUCAAGACCCUGCUUCAAUGGGCUGCUGGAAGCCAGGACUGGGGUUCCUCUGAGGUUGGACUUCUUUCGCGCUCGAUAGGCCUUGAAAACUGGGUUCCUGCUCCUUAUUACAUAUCUGGGACAAUAAUGAACAGGUCAAAACAGAAAAGUCGAGUAAACUGGGAGCGAUGCUUUUCAACACGUCGCGCAGGGUGUAGUGUUGGGGGAUGUGAUUUGAGGGCAAGAAUUUUAUUGCAAUACUAGGUAGUCAGCCAGCCCGGUCCCCGGGGGCCGACCUGCAAAGUACUACGCGUUUCCGCCCCCCGACCCCCCCACAGCGGUUACACCUCUGGGAAGCAUUACCUUGCCUGAUGACUUCACACUGCUCGGGGAAACCCACUUACUAAUUCUCCCCUACAAACCUUCAGGGCUUCAGCCUUUGUUUGAACCCUGCCUUAGGUGGUUCAACUCUUGAGAAACUGGCUUAAGUUUCAGAGCACAAUUUCAUCCACUUAAUCAGACUCCUGCUUCUUGAUUUUUAGUUGUACGGUAGUUUUUAAAUGCUAACCUGUAAUUUAAAAUAUAUUGUCUAACUGAUGUACUCUUACAUAUAAUGUGGAUUAAACUGAUUUAGGGGGAGGGUGGACAUCAUGGAGUGUCAAGUGUCUGGCUGUGGGACCCCACAGGGGCACUUAACAUCCACUCUAAACUUCCAUGAAUAUUAUAUGUAAUGCAGGCUUGCUGAUUAUUGCUUAGUAGUGCUUAACUGUUCCUGUGCUAAUGGUUCAAGCAGUGAAAACAUUUAGUAAAACUGUGUUUCUUUAUUAAUCAAAAACACAUUUGUUGUUUGUUCCCUUGAACUUGUAAUUCAUGGCCCAUAAAGCAAAAGCAAAAUAUUUCCUCACUGCGGAUGAAUGUAAAAGCUAAUUACAUAUCCGUGCAUUUCUGUCAGUUUCUCCCCCAUCCCCCAAGAGAAUGGGAAAGAGGCUAGAGGUGAAAGUUUACAUUUAAAUUCAGGGGUGAAGCAGAAUACUGUAUCAAUCAGAUUUUCUUAGGCAGGGCAUCCAGAAUAAGAGAUUGAAUAAAUUCAAAUCCCACCUUUGAUGAGGGAUUGUUUGUGUGUUCCUGGAAGCAUAUUUUACCUCUCUAGACCUUUAUUUCCUAGUUGAUAAAUGGAGAAAAUACCUGCUUUACAAAGUUGUUAUGAUGAUAGAACGUGUGAAACUAUGUUAGGAGAUUAGUAGAGUGCCUAAGCUCUACUCUUAGGUAGAGCUUCCUAAUGUAACUUAGCGUUUCCUAAUUUAACCAUUGUCGCUAUUCAAAAACAUUAGUACCCUUCUCCUGGUUUUCUAUUUGUUAUAUUAUUCUUGAUAGGCAUUAACUGGAGUUUCAUCCUGGGCUCAUUUGUUUGACCUACUUCAGCUUCCUACUGUCCCCUCACUGUCUCUCAUAGAUUGAAUUAUUCUAUGUGCCCAUGAAUACACCCCAAACCUUUACGUUUAACCAAAAUUCCUUUCUGGAUUCCAGGCCUGAAUUACGGCUACUAGCCAUCUAGUAUUGAUUAAUAAGCAUCAUAUUUGGAGACGGGAGAUUCAGUUUCACCAACAAGCUAUAGCUUGUUUCAACCAAUUGAAUAACAUACGAUUGUCAAUUUCAAUUUUACCUUUCUAUUUUAAACAUAAGCUGUUUGGAUCAGAAGAUGACAGAUGUUUCAGGUUUUGACAUCCUAAGACAUACUUCUCCAACCUACGCUUGUUAUGGUUUCAACUAUCCAAGACAACAUAGCGAAGAACUUCAGAGGUAGGAGCUUGACCUGAGUCAACGUGAGUCUGCAGCAUGCUCUUGCUAACCUCCUUCCCACAACACAGAACAAGUGUUCACCUGUCUGAGAGACCAAGUUUCCAGAAGAAGGAUUCAGUACCUUCAUACUUCUCUGUGUAAAUGGUUCUCAAACUUUUUGGUGUGAAGUCCCUCUAUACGCUCUUAAAAAUUGUUGAGGACUUCAAAAAACGUGUUUAUAUGGGUUAUAUCUAUCAAUAGACCAUAUUAGAAAUAAAAGCUGACCAAAAAAGUUUUAGAAUAUUUAUUAAUUAAUUUAAAAUAAUAAUAAACGCAAGGACUUGUCACCAUUUUUGUGAAAUGUGGCAUUGUUUUCCAUUUUUGCAAAUCUCCACUAUCUGGCUUAAUAUAAGACAGUUGGAUUCUCAUAGCUGCUUCAUCAUUCUAUUGUUUUGAUUGAAGUAUAUAAAGAAAAUCUGGCUUCAAACAGAUACAUAAUUGGGAAAUAGAGAAGUAUUUUAAUAGUCUUUUUAGAUAGUCUUCUGUGAUACUAUGUCAAAACUUGACAAAUAAUAGUUUUUUUAAACUUAAGUUGUAAUGGUGGAUCUAAAACAAUAGGAAUGAGCUUUUUGUACUCUGUUACUUAAAAUCUCUUUAUCUUAUACUUUAAAUGCAUCUUUUACAACCAUUCAUGCAUUUUAAUGUCCUGUAUCAUUUGUAUUGAUUACUAAGUUAGGCAGAUUUUCCGAAUGUUGAUAUAUUUCAUUAAAA